RNAcentral lists this ribosomal RNA (1064 nucleotides) under uncultured Aquaspirillum sp. Its description in RNAcentral is "bacterial SSU rRNA". It matches the Rfam family "Bacterial small subunit ribosomal RNA", at positions 8 to 1064 of the family's 1533-position model. The record is from RNAcentral. Lineage: Bacteria; Pseudomonadati; Pseudomonadota; Betaproteobacteria; Neisseriales; Aquaspirillaceae.
AGAGUUUGAUCCUGGCUCAGAUUGAACGCUGGCGGCAUGCCUUACACAUGCAAGUCGAACGGCAGCACGGAGCUUGCUCUGGUGGCGAGUGGCGAACGGGUGAGUAAUAUAUCGGAACGUACCCUAGAGUGGGGGAUAACGUAGCGAAAGUUACGCUAAUACCGCAUACGAUCUACGGAUGAAAGUGGGGGAUCGCAAGACCUCAUGCUCAUGGAGCGGCCGAUAUCUGAUUAGCUAGUUGGUAGGGUAAAAGCCUACCAAGGCAUCGAUCAGUAGCUGGUCUGAGAGGACGACCAGCCACACUGGAACUGAGACACGGUCCAGACUCCUACGGGAGGCAGCAGUGGGGAAUUUUGGACAAUGGGCGAAAGCCUGAUCCAGCAAUGCCGCGUGAGUGAAGAAGGCCUUCGGGUUGUAAAGCUCUUUUGUCAGGGAAGAAACGGUUGUCUCUAAUACAGAUGGCUAAUGACGGUACCUGAAGAAUAAGCACCGGCUAACUACGUGCCAGCAGCCGCGGUAAUACGUAGGGUGCAAGCGUUAAUCGGAAUUUACUGGGCGUAAAGCGUGCGCAGGCGGUUAUGUAAGACAGAUGUGAAAUGCCCGGGCUUAACCUGGGAAACUGCAUUUGUGACUGCAUGGCUAGAGUUUGGCAGAGGGGGGUAGAAUUCCACGUGUAGCAGUGAAAUGCGUAGAUAUGUGGAGGAACACCGAUGGCGAAGGCAGCCCCCUGGGUCAAGACUGACGCUCAUGCACGAAAGCGUGGGGAGCAAACAGGAUUAGAUACCCUGGUAGUCCACGCCCUAAACGAUGUCUACUAGUUGUCGGGUCUUAAUUGACUUGGUAACGCAGCUAACGCGUGAAGUAGACCGCCUGGGGAGUACGGUCGCAAGAUUAAAACUCAAAGGAAUUGACGGGGACCCGCACAAGCGGUGGAUGAUGUGGAUUAAUUCGAUGCAACGCGAAAAACCUUACCUACCCUUGACAUGGCUGGAAUCCCUGAGAGAUUGGGGAGUGCUCGAAAGAGAACCAGUACACAGGUGCUGCAUGGCUGUCGUCAGCUCGUG